UACGUAGGGGGCUAGCGUUGCUCGGAAUUACUGGGCGUAAAGCGCACGUAGGCGGAUUGUUAAGUCAGGGGUGAAAUCCUGGAGCUCAACUCCAGAACUGCCUUUGAUACUGGCGAUCUUGAGUCCGGGAGAGGUGAGUGGAACUGCGAGUGUAGAGGUGAAAUUCGUAGAUAUUCGCAAGAACACCAGUGGCGAAGGCGGCUCACUGGCCCGGUACUGACGCUGAGGUGCGAAAGCGUGGGGAGCAAACAGG
Molecule: ribosomal RNA, 253 nt
Filed under: uncultured bacterium
Lineage: Bacteria
Description: partial 16S ribosomal RNA
Rfam family: Bacterial small subunit ribosomal RNA
Source: RNAcentral